Molecule: long non-coding RNA, 459 nt
Organism: Bradysia coprophila
Lineage: Eukaryota; Metazoa; Arthropoda; Insecta; Diptera; Sciaridae
Source: RefSeq, a predicted model, not a curated record
UAGACGGAUUUGUAUUGUCUAUAUAAACGCAAUCUGAAUGCCUCAGACUGAAAUUACAAAACUCCAGUUUGACAAUACUUGCAAAUUAUCCCCCGGUUUUUGGCCAAACCUAACAAUAAAAAUGAAAUUAUCGUUGCAAUUCGCUUUAUUCGUCACUUUUGUCAUCUUCGCAUUUGCCAUACAAGGUUACACGGCCGAUUGCCCAAACGGAUUACCCAGUCGCACGGGUUCAUGUUGGUGGAAUAACCAUAUGGUUCGAGAUCACCGCUGCUCCACUGGAAGAUUCCAGUUUUUCUAUUGGUUCGGUACUUGCUAUUGCUGCGAUGACGUUUCGCAGACGUAUCGAGGAAGUUAUGCCUCACGACAUGUUUAUUUUUUAAGAAUUGGGUUACUUCUAUGGCAGAGUGUGUCAAUUAACACUAUCUAUGGAAAAUAAUAAAUAGAACCUUUGGAAAGUCA